AUACGUAGGGGGCGAGCGUUGUCCGGAAUGAUUGGGCGUAAAGGGCGCGUAGGCGGCGCGGUAAGUCUGGAGUGAAAGUCCUGCUUUCAAGGUGGGAAUUGCUUUGGAUACUGCCGCGCUUGAGUGCAGGAGAGGUUAUCGGAAUUCCCGGUGUAGCGGUGAAAUGCGUAGAGAUCGGGAGGAACACCAGUGGCGAAGGCGGGUAACUGGACUGCAACUGACGCUGAGGCGCGAAAGUGUGGGGAGCAAACAGGAUUAGAUACUCUGGUAGUCCACACUGUAAACGAUGGGUACUAGGUAUAGGGAGUAUCGACCCUCUUUGUGCCGAAGCUAACGCUUUAAGUACCCCGCCUGGGGACUACGGCCGCAAGGCUAAAACUCAAAUGAAUUGACGGGG
Molecule: ribosomal RNA, 397 nt
Filed under: uncultured bacterium
Lineage: Bacteria
Description: partial 16S ribosomal RNA
Rfam family: Bacterial small subunit ribosomal RNA
Source: RNAcentral